Molecule: ribosomal RNA, 440 nt
Filed under: uncultured Alphaproteobacteria bacterium
Lineage: Bacteria; Pseudomonadati; Pseudomonadota; Alphaproteobacteria
Description: bacterial SSU rRNA
Rfam family: Bacterial small subunit ribosomal RNA
Source: RNAcentral
CCUACGGGAGGCAGCAGUGGGGAAUAUUGGACAAUGGGCGAAAGCCUGAUCCAGCAAUGCCGCGUGAGUGAUGAAGGCCUUAGGGUUGUAAAGCUCUUUCACCGGGGAAGACGAUGACGGUACCCGGAGAAGAAGCCCCGGCUAACUUCGUGCCAGCAGCCGCGGUAAUACGAAGGGGGCUAGCGUUGUUCGGAAUUACUGGGCGUAAAGCGCGCGUAGGCGGUUAGCCAAGUCGGGGGUGAAAGCCCGGAGCUCAACUCCGGAACUGCCUCCGAGACUGGCUGGCUUGAGUGUGGAAGAGGGUCGUGGAAUUCCCAGUGUAGAGGUGAAAUUCGUAGAUAUUGGGAAGAACACCAGUGGCGAAGGCGGCGACCUGGUCCAUAACUGACGCUGAGGCGCGAUAGCGUGGGGAGCAAACAGGAUUAGAUACCCUUGUAGUC